Molecule: ribosomal RNA, 447 nt
Filed under: uncultured bacterium
Lineage: Bacteria
Description: bacterial SSU rRNA
Rfam family: Bacterial small subunit ribosomal RNA
Source: RNAcentral
GAUCAUGGCUCAGAUUGAACGCUGGCGGCAGGCCUAACACAUGCAAGUCGAACGAGACCUUCGGGUCUAGUGGCGCACGGGUGCGUAACACGUGGGAAUUUGCCUCGGGGUAUGGAAUAACUCAGGGAAACUUGAGCUAAUACCAUAUAAUGUCUUCGGACCAAAGAUUUAUCGCCCUGAGAUAAGCCCGCGUAGGAUUAGCUAGUUGGUGGGGUAAAGGCUCACCAAGGCGACGAUCCUUAGCUGGUCUGAGAGGAUGAUCAGCCACACUGGGACUGAGACACGGCCCAGACUCCUACGGGAGGCAGCAGUGGGGGAAUAUUGGACAAUGGGCGAAAGCCUGAUCCAGCAAUGCCGCGUGAGUGAUGAAGGCCUUCGGGUUGUAAAGCUCUUUUACUCGGGACGAUAAUGACGGUACCGAGAGAAUAAGCCCCGGCUAACUCCGUG